Molecule: ribosomal RNA, 422 nt
Filed under: uncultured cyanobacterium
Lineage: Bacteria; Bacillati; Cyanobacteriota
Description: bacterial SSU rRNA
Rfam family: Bacterial small subunit ribosomal RNA
Source: RNAcentral
GGAAUUUUCCGCAAUGGGCGAAAGCCUGACGGAGCAACGCCGCGUGAGGGAUGAAGGCCUCUGGGCUGUAAACCUCUUUUAUCAAGGAAGAAGAUCUGACGGUACUUGAUGAAUAAGCCACGGCUAAUUCCGUGCCAGCAGCCGCGGUAAUACGGGAGUGGCAAGCGUUAUCCGGAAUUAUUGGGCGUAAAGCGUCCGCAGGCGGCCCUUCAAGUCUGCUGUUAAAAAGUGGAGCUUAACUCCAUCGUGGCAGUGGAAACUGUUGGGCUUGAGUGUGGUAGGGGCAGAGGGAAUUCCCGGUGUAGCGGUGAAAUGCGUAGAUAUCGGGAAGGACACCAGUGGCGAAGGCGCUCUGCUGGGCCAUCACUGACGCUCAUGGACGAAAGCCAGGGGAGCGAAAGGGAUUAGAUACCCCAGUAGUC